This 68-nucleotide transfer RNA is filed under the name Microhodotermes viator. RNAcentral's name for it is "tRNA-Ser". It matches the Rfam family "tRNA". Rfam says of the family: Transfer RNA (tRNA) molecules are approximately 80 nucleotides in length. Their secondary structure includes four short double-helical elements and three loops (D, anti-codon, and T loops). The record is from RNAcentral. Lineage: Eukaryota; Metazoa; Arthropoda; Insecta; Blattodea; Hodotermitidae.
AGUUAAAUAGCUUAUGCAAGCACAUACUUUGAAAGUAUGAGAAAGGGGUUCAAAUCCCCUAUUAACUU